Molecule: long non-coding RNA, 1165 nt
Filed under: Homo sapiens (human)
Lineage: Eukaryota; Metazoa; Chordata; Mammalia; Primates; Hominidae
Description: HSALNT0149264
Source: RNAcentral
UGCGUGUGGGUUUUGGCGUUGGUCUGGGGGUGGUGUUCUGCCUGAAUGCUGGUGUGCGUGGGCAGUGUGUUGUUUGCGUGCUGGGGUAGGAUGCCUGCCUCUUCGGAUUGCUGUGCAGGGGCCUGAACACAGCAGGCAUUUGUGAGCAUAUAUGCGAGCUCAGAGAUGCCCGGGAAGACGGGGGGCCCGAAUGGAAGCAGAAAAACACUUAUGGCCGCUGGGAAGUUGGGAGAGCCAGGCUGGGGCUCCGGCAGGCCCAGGGAAAGUUCCCUUUCUAGGCUCUUUAUUAAAAAAUUUAAAAGGAGGAGUUGAGGCGCCUUGAAUUUUCCUUCGCGAGUUUGGAGACCAGCCGAUUUUUCAUGAAGCAAGCAAGGGCCGCGGUCCCGGAUCCUGCAACAUAUACCUCAUUUUCUCCAGGCCUCUCCACUUGCCCGAGCUCUCAGCCACCAGGAGACAGACGGAAGGGGCUUCUGGGCUGUGUUGGGAGCGGGCAUUGUCCCCUACCCACUCCUGCACAGUUUCCCAAAGUCCAGCGACCUCCGACCCUCCUUGGGGAAAAAAAUACCAGUACCCAGACACCUCUGCACCCUGUUAUAUGACUGGGCUUGCUUCAGGAAUAUCUUACAAAGAAGAAGAAGGAGGAGGAACGGCUUGGAGUCAUGUUUACAUCUAGUUCUACUGAUCCGUUCACAUCUGGAGAGUUUAUUUAUAACUCCCUCUAUAACUCUCUGUUUGGAGGCACUGGUGGCUCUACUGACAGACUGAUGUCUAGGAAAUAUUGCUCUAUGUCUAAUGGUACCUAAAUGUGCUGUGGUUGUAUUUACAGAUUUACGUUUGAGGGAAAUAUAAUUAUUUCCAUUGUAUUUGUGCAUAUACAGUAGUUAUAGGAGCAGAUUUAUAUAUGGGAAAAUAUGCGACUCCCUUACAGCCAUCCGGCUUUAUGUACAUUUGAUAUCCUGACAGAUUUAUAUCUCUGAAGAGCUAUAUAGAUUAAAACGUAUAUUGUUAGAAUUAUGUAUCAGGAGAUAUAUACUUAUUGAUUGCGAAAUAGAGUAGUUAGAGCAUUCACUUAGAGCCAUAUAUGGCUAUGGAGAUAUUUCUAUAUUAUUAUCACUAUAUAUAGGCAUAUCUAUUUAUAACUGCAUAGUUAUAAAAAUAGACAUAA